Molecule: transfer RNA, 74 nt
Filed under: Cronobacter phage Pet-CM3-4
Lineage: Duplodnaviria; Heunggongvirae; Uroviricota; Caudoviricetes; Pantevenvirales; Straboviridae
Also listed under: 5 other names
Description: tRNA-Pro-TGG
Rfam family: tRNA
About the family: Transfer RNA (tRNA) molecules are approximately 80 nucleotides in length. Their secondary structure includes four short double-helical elements and three loops (D, anti-codon, and T loops).
Source: RNAcentral
CUCCGUGUAGCUCAGUUUGGUAGAGCAUCUGGUUUGGGACCAGAGGGUCCGAGGUUCAAAUCCUCGUAUGGAGA